Cecembia lonarensis LW9 is the source of this 71-nucleotide transfer RNA. It matches the Rfam family "tRNA". From Rfam's summary of the family: Transfer RNA (tRNA) molecules are approximately 80 nucleotides in length. Their secondary structure includes four short double-helical elements and three loops (D, anti-codon, and T loops). Lineage: Bacteria; Pseudomonadati; Bacteroidota; Cytophagia; Cytophagales; Cyclobacteriaceae. The record is from Rfam.
GGUCGCGUGGCCGAGCGGUUAGGCAGAGGUCUGCAAAACCUUGUACAGCGGUUCGAAUCCGCUCGCGACCU